Molecule: ribosomal RNA, 442 nt
Filed under: uncultured Bacteroidota bacterium
Lineage: Bacteria; Pseudomonadati; Bacteroidota
Description: bacterial SSU rRNA
Rfam family: Bacterial small subunit ribosomal RNA
Source: RNAcentral
GGGCCCGCACAAGCGGAGGAACAUGUGGUUUAAUUCGAUGAUACGCGAGGAACCUUACCCGGGUUUGAACGCAUUCGGACCGGUGGUGAAAGCCACCUUUCAGCAAUGACCGUUUGCGAGGUGCUGCAUGGUUGUCGUCAGCUCGUGCCGUGAGGUGUCGGCUUAAGUGCCAUAACGAGCGCAACCCUUAUUGAUAGUUACCAGCAUGUAAUGAUGGGGACUCUAUCAAGACUGCCAGCGUAAGCUGUGAGGAAGGUGGGGAUGACGUCAAAUCAGCACGGCCCUUACAUCCGGGGCGACACACGUGUUACAAUGGCGUGGACAAAGAGCAGCUACCUGGCGACAGGAUGCUAAUCUCCAAACCACGUCUCAGUUCGGAUCGGAGUCUGCAACUCGACUCCGUGAAGCUGGAUUCGCUAGUAAUCGCGCAUCAGCCAUGGCG